Melanotaenia boesemani (Boeseman's rainbowfish) is the source of this 306-nucleotide long non-coding RNA. RefSeq lists it as uncharacterized. The transcript is spliced from 3 exons. NCBI's taxonomy places the organism in Eukaryota, Metazoa, Chordata, Actinopteri, Atheriniformes, Melanotaeniidae. The record is from RefSeq and is a predicted model, not a curated record.
UGACAAAAAGGGUGUGACAUGUCAGUGGUGAUUAUUAUUUACUCAUGUGAUCCCCUGUGCAGGAAUUUGGAUUAAGAGAUGGGUUAAGUGUGACAACAUCUGAAACCUCAGAGAAUCAAGAUGAAUUAUCAGCUUUGGACAAAAGAUGAUGUGUGCCACUGGCUUAAAAAAGAGGGUUUUGGUCACUUUGCAAGUGCCUUUUUGGGACAUCUUGGGGUACCUGGCUUGUCUGUCUGUAACAUUGGUUAAUCCACUGGCCUAUGCUCACCUUUAUUCCCCACAGGACCAACAUAACCUCUCCUCAGC